UUUCCGUAGGUGAACCUGCGGAAGGAUCAUUAUCGAGUUUUGACUGGGUUGUAGCUGGCCUUCCGAAGCACGUGCACGCCCUGCUCAUCCACUCUACACCUGUGCACCUACUGUGGGUAUCAGAUCGUGAAGCGUGCUCUUUUACCGGAGCUUGUGAAGCGUGUCUGUGCCUGCGUCUAUCACAAACACUAUAAGUAUCAGAAUGUGUAUUACGAUGUAACGCAUCUAUAUACAACUUUCAGCAACGGAUCUCUUGGCUCUC
This 262-nucleotide unclassified non-coding RNA is filed under the name plant metagenome. RNAcentral's name for it is "partial contains small subunit ribosomal RNA, internal transcribed spacer 1, and 5.8S ribosomal RNA". The record is from RNAcentral.